RNAcentral lists this unclassified non-coding RNA (546 nucleotides) under Zea mays. RNAcentral describes it as "misc RNA Zm00001eb377620". The record is from RNAcentral. Lineage: Eukaryota; Viridiplantae; Streptophyta; Magnoliopsida; Poales; Poaceae.
CUGCACCCGUUCUUCACCGGUGAAGCAAAUUGGGACGCGUGGUUGGCCAAUGACCUUUGCCGCGCCCUAGGGAGUGAAAUUGACGCCGCUGCGGAACCAAUCGAGGCGCGGAACAAGCGGAAUUCUUCACCGAGGUGCGACAACCGCGUCGUGGCCACACCUCACCGUGGAGGAAGCUUGGCGCAGCGAAACCCGUGAAUACAUGCCACCACCAACUGGGGAGAGGAGUUAUUGGUGUUGCUUCAUCCAUCCAAUGCAAACCAUAAGAAGCUCCCAACCCCACCUCCCAAGAGGCACCUGGGAAUUAACAUGGUUGAUGGGAGGACCAAGCUAGUAGAGUACAUGCUGCCACCAAAGAUUGAAAAGAAGGUGGUCAAUGAACAGAUGUAUGUCCAGACCACUCCGGCGAGGACUCCACUUGGUGUCAGUAAGAACCUGAGGAUAUGUGGUGACUGCCAUAAUUCCAUCAAUAUCGUGUCCAGGAUUGUUGGCAGAGAGCUUAUUGUGAGGGACAGUGAGAGGUUUCACUCUUUCAAGAAUGGAUAG